This 440-nucleotide ribosomal RNA is filed under the name uncultured bacterium. RNAcentral's name for it is "partial 16S ribosomal RNA". It matches the Rfam family "Bacterial small subunit ribosomal RNA", at positions 338 to 795 of the family's 1533-position model. The record is from RNAcentral.
CCUACGGGUGGCAGCAGUGGGGAAUCUUGCACAAUGGAGGAAACCCUGAUGCAGCGACGCCGCGUGAGUGAAGAAGUAAUUCGUUAUGUAAAGCUCUAUCAGCAGGGAAGAAAAUGACGGUACCUGAGUAAGAAGCACCGGCGAACUACGUGCCAGCAGCCGGGGUGAUACGUAGGGGGCAAGCGUUAGCCGGAUUUACUGGGUGGAAAGGGAGCGUAGACGGCAGUGACAGUCUGGAGUGAAAGGCGGGGGCUCAACCCACGGAACGCUCUGGAAACUGUACGGCUGGAGUGCAGGAGAGGUAAGUGGAAUUCCUAGUGUAGCGGUGAAAUGCGUAGAUAUUAGGAGGAACACCAGUGGCGAAGGCGGCUUACUGGACUGUAACUGACGUUGAGGCUCGAAAGCGUGGGGAGCAAACAGGAUUAGAUACCCCUGUAGUC